This is a long non-coding RNA of Lagopus muta (rock ptarmigan), 1713 nucleotides long. RefSeq lists it as uncharacterized. NCBI's taxonomy places the organism in Eukaryota, Metazoa, Chordata, Aves, Galliformes, Phasianidae. The record is from RefSeq and is a predicted model, not a curated record. The transcript is spliced from 3 exons.
CAUAGCAAUAAACAGCACGACUGAAAGGCACUGGGGCAACCAGGAGACCUUGUAGCUCUAAUUCCUGGAGCUUUCCAUCCUGCUCAGCCUCAGUUAUUUCUUUCUAGAACCACUUUUCUGAAUUUGUGCUCAUCCUACGUCACAGUUUUUAACUCUGGACACACUCUUAUCUGGGAACAAGCACAGUGAUGUUCUUUGGGAGCACCUGGGAAACCAUGGCCGAGAAAGCUGGAAUUGCUCCACAUCAGACUAGAAGAUAUCCACAAAAUUGUGCUUUUCACUCCUUAGAAAUAAAUCAGCUCCCACUUGUUCUUCUGACCUAUCUUAUGACGCAGACUGAAGCUGACUGAAGCAGACUCCUGCCAAUUUUGACAUCUGUUUUACAACACUUGAAUCACUUUUCCUAUCAGGUGGCAUUUCUGUUGGAGUUUUCCAAAAGACAUUAACAUUCCUUGGUCAGAUUAUCCCAGUGGCUGAUGUCCUUGUAAUUCCCAGUGUCUGUGUUGGCAGGUUCUUACCUGUACAAUAGUUGAAAGAGGUCAACAAAAGAUGUUGACCUUACUGUCAAAACAGCUCUAAAAUGACAUGGUUUAUAGACAGAAUGUCCGAAAUGCAUGCUGCUUCUUGAAAAGUCAGACAUCAAAAGAGGUAUGCUUAUUAUCUUCACCUCAUAAAACACAAUGAGAUCUUUCUGAAGUUCAUACCUUUUCUUGAUUGGACCGCUGAUUUCUAAUGUGAAGAUGUGUUUGCUCCAGAUUAUGUAUCAUUUGUUACUGCUUUAGCUAAGGCACUAUGUGUAGAAAUACAUGUCAAACUUUAGCAGGUAUAGAUUUGCACAAAUAUUGUUAAGCAAUAACUGGGAAAGCAAUGUGGAAUAAUAUGAGGUUUUCUUGUGAGGAAAAUAUUGCUGGACUAAUGGAGGUAGCCUUGAUGUGUAAAUGAAACAGAAUGGUCAACCUUUUAAAAUGAGGAUGUUCAAAAUUUUGGCUUGCCUGAGCUGCAAAGUGAAGAGGAAUUAUCUUGGGCUUCAUAUAAAACACAAAAUAUAAUGAAUAUAUGUAAGUAAUAAACUUUCUUUUGUUUACUUUUAUAUUUAUUAAAAUAUAAAAAGUGUGCCACAAAAACUGAAAACUAAUGUGUUUUACACACACAUUUCAAAAUAAGCUGGAAACUUGGGUAUUUGACAUUAAACAGACAAAUGCUGUAAGCCCUUUUCUCUCCCCACACGUGUAGUUUGCCUAUUUUUUCGUCCAUUAGCUUCAUAGGCCAUUAUGUUCACAACUGGUACUAGUGUAUUCAUGAUUUUCAGUGUAUCAACCAAAAAUAAUAAAAUAUUCAUUUACCCUUGGGAAAACAAUGCAGAACUUUUCAUAAAUGCAUUAAAACAUGCUUUGCUCCAUUUACCAUGUGAAGUUCCUGUCUCGUGGAACAUUUAUUUCUUAGUGUUUCAUGCACUACCUAGCAGGUUGGUCACAUGAGACCUCACUAGCACUAGAAAAAUCAUAGACCUUUUUGACUUUGUAUUUAUUACAUUUUUAAUAUAUGAAAAAGAUUAUAGCCAUAGAAAACUGUGUAAGUCACAUGAGGUGAGUUGGUCAGUUCAGAGAACUUGCAAACACAUUGCGCGCUUUCAGGAAACUAAUAAGCAUACAUACUUUCAGGAAGAAAAAAUAAAGUCAAAACUAAUGGUCCAGAAAUACUGAGGCAGAUACU